This 215-nucleotide long non-coding RNA is filed under the name Mytilus galloprovincialis (Mediterranean mussel). Lineage: Eukaryota; Metazoa; Mollusca; Bivalvia; Mytilida; Mytilidae. The record is from RNAcentral.
AUUAUUACAUUGGUUGCAAUGAAUUACAUUGAUUUCCCAGUUAAAUAAAAACCGAUAAUUUCACAUGUGAAAUAAACGUGGUUAUUUCACUCUCUGACGUCAUACAACAAUAGUCGUUGUCAAGACGUUGAUAACGGCGGAUCAAAACAAAUUGUGAAUGCGUAGAAAAAAGAUAUAGUUCCUGACAUGUUUUAUAUUAAUUUCGUUAAAAAAAG